CGCUGGCGGCGUGCUUAACACAUGCAAGUCGAACGAUGAAGCCCAGCUUGCUGGGUGGAUUAGUGGCGAACGGGUGAGUAACACGUGGGUGAUCUGCCCUGCACUCUGGGAUAAGCCUGGGAAACUGGGUCUAAUACCGGAUAUGACCUCUUGCUGCAUGGCGAGGGGUGGAAAGUUUUUCGGUGCAGGAUGAGCCCGCGGCCUAUCAGCUUGUUGGUGGGGUAAUGGCCUACCAAGGCGACGACGGGUAGCCGGCCUGAGAGGGCGACCGGCCACACUGGGACUGAGACACGGCCCAGACUCCUACGGGAGGCAGCAGUGGGGAAUAUUGCACAAUGGGCGAAAGCCUGAUGCAGCGACGCCGCGUGAGGGAUGACGGCCUUCGGGUUGUAAACCUCUUUCAGCAGGGACGAAGCGAAAGUGACGGUACCUGCAGAAGAAGCACCGGCCAACUACGUG
RNAcentral lists this ribosomal RNA (459 nucleotides) under uncultured bacterium. RNAcentral describes it as "bacterial SSU rRNA". It matches the Rfam family "Bacterial small subunit ribosomal RNA", at positions 34 to 507 of the family's 1533-position model. The record is from RNAcentral.